This is a non-coding RNA of Pelobates cultripes (western spadefoot toad), 265 nucleotides long. Lineage: Eukaryota; Metazoa; Chordata; Amphibia; Anura; Pelobatidae. The record is from the annotation of a GenBank genome assembly.
CCUAGACUUCCAUCUUUAUACUUUUGUGUUAAAGUUUUUAUUGUCACGACUACUAAUGUGAUCCAACAUGCAAAACUAUGUAACAUCUACAGAGAAUAGAAAAAUAGACAGAACGGAAACCGGUCCGUGGCCGGAUUAAUAUGUUGAAAGACAGAGAAUGGUCAAGGGAAAGCCUAGGUCAAGGAAGCCAGAAAUACACAAGAUCGAUAAGAAAGCCAAGUCAGGGAAACCAGAGAUGAGAAUAGUUAGGAAUAGCCAAAGUCAG